Molecule: microRNA precursor, 75 nt
Filed under: Bombyx mori (domestic silkworm)
Lineage: Eukaryota; Metazoa; Arthropoda; Insecta; Lepidoptera; Bombycidae
Description: mir-2807 microRNA precursor family
Rfam family: mir-2807 microRNA precursor family
Source: Rfam by way of RNAcentral
UUAACUCAAAUUUGUAUGAAGUUGGAACGAUUGUCUACGUUUGGCGCUGUUUCAACUGCAUACACAUUUGAGUUA